This 545-nucleotide long non-coding RNA is filed under the name Calidris pugnax (ruff). RNAcentral describes it as "lncRNA (ENSCPUG00000016992.1)". The record is from RNAcentral. Lineage: Eukaryota; Metazoa; Chordata; Aves; Charadriiformes; Scolopacidae.
UAAAGGGGUUCUUCAGUUUAAUUAAAAAAAAAAAAAAGGAGGGGGGGAAGGGAAAGUAGACAUGGUGCCUUUUAAGCAACAAUUCCAAGGGCAGAGGGGUUACCCAAGGCCACCCAUCGCCAGCUGAAAGCCUGUGUGAGCAGCGAGGAGCUGCAUUGAGGACAAAUCUGUGCUGCUGCUCAAUUACUUGGUGUAACAGCAACAUCUCCCCUCAGAGAGGAGGUGGAACGGGAAGAGCUGUGCUGGGGUCCAACCAUGGGUCCAAUGCACGAGGAACUGCAUCUGGGAGGUUGGCUGUUUCUUUGGGUCAAGAAACAUUAAUGGGUGAGAGGAAGCCGUGACUCAGCCACCGAUGAAUCACUGCUGCUCCAGAUUGUGCCUCCCUCGUCUUACUGGUGCCCCUCAAGCUGAUUAAGCCUGGACGAAACAAACUCCUGUCACACUGUGGGAUGUUGGUCUGAGCCCAGCCCUGGGACCAGCUGGAAAUCAAAUCCUACCUCCAGCCCCUGUUUUCCAUCCAUCCUUCCCAAACUCCUUAUUUCACU